This 56-nucleotide transfer RNA is filed under the name Ovis aries (sheep). It matches the Rfam family "tRNA", at positions 8 to 63 of the family's 71-position model. Rfam says of the family: Transfer RNA (tRNA) molecules are approximately 80 nucleotides in length. Their secondary structure includes four short double-helical elements and three loops (D, anti-codon, and T loops). The record is from Rfam by way of RNAcentral. Lineage: Eukaryota; Metazoa; Chordata; Mammalia; Artiodactyla; Bovidae.
UGGCUCAGUUGGUAAAGCGUCUGCCUACAAUGCAGGAGACCAGGGUUCAAUCCCUG